This 148-nucleotide non-coding RNA is filed under the name Gorilla gorilla gorilla (western lowland gorilla). The record is from Rfam by way of RNAcentral. Lineage: Eukaryota; Metazoa; Chordata; Mammalia; Primates; Hominidae.
GCCAGGCGCGGUGGCUCACGUCUGUAAUCCCAGCACUUUGGGAGGCUGAGGUGGGAGGAUUGCUUGAGCCCAGGAGUUCAGGGUUAUAGUGAGCUAUGAUUGUGCCACUGCUCUCCAGCCUGGGCGACAGAGCAGGACCCUGUCUCUA